Molecule: ribosomal RNA, 247 nt
Filed under: uncultured bacterium
Lineage: Bacteria
Description: partial 16S ribosomal RNA
Rfam family: Bacterial small subunit ribosomal RNA
Source: RNAcentral
UACGUAGGGUGCGAGCGUUGUCCGGAAUUAUUGGGCGUAAAGAGCGCGUAGGCGGCGCGGUAAGUCACUUGUGAAAUCUCUGAGCUUAACUCAGAACGGCCAAGUGAUACUGCAGUGCUAGAGUGCAGAAGGGGCAAUCGGAAUUCUUGGUGUAGCGGUGAAAUGCGUAGAUAUCAAGAGGAACACCUGAGGUGAAGACGGGUUGCUAGGCUGACACUGAGGCGCGACAGCGUGGGGAGCAAACAGG